GACGAACGCUGGCGGCGUGCUUAACACAUGCAAGUCGAACGGAAAGGCCCUUCGGGGUACUCGAGUGGCGAACGGGUGAGUAACACGUGGGUGAUCUGCCCUGCACUUUGGGUUAAGCCUGGGAAACUGGGUCUAAUACCGAAUAGGACCACGCGCUUCCUGGCGUGUGGUGGCAAGCUUUUGCGGUGUGGGAUGGGCCCGCGGCCUAUCAGCUUGUUGGUGGGGUAAUGGCGUACCAAGGCGACGACGGGUAGCCGGCCUGAGAGGGUGACCGGCCACACUGGGACUGAGAUACGGCCCAGACUCCUACGGGAGGCAGCAGUGGGGAAUAUUGCACAAUGGGCGCAAGCCUGAUGCAGCGACGCCGCGUGAGGGAUGACGGCCUUCGGGUUGUAAACCUCUUUCAAUAGGGACGAAGCGCAAGUGACGGUACCUAUAGAAGAAGCACCGGCCAACUACGUG
This 462-nucleotide ribosomal RNA is filed under the name uncultured bacterium. RNAcentral's name for it is "partial 16S ribosomal RNA". It matches the Rfam family "Bacterial small subunit ribosomal RNA", at positions 28 to 507 of the family's 1533-position model. The record is from RNAcentral.